Molecule: long non-coding RNA, 2943 nt
Organism: Amphiprion ocellaris (clown anemonefish)
Lineage: Eukaryota; Metazoa; Chordata; Actinopteri; Pomacentridae
Exons: 3
Source: RefSeq, a predicted model, not a curated record
CUGGAAUAUUAGCACGCAGGGGAAGAGCACUGUGAUUAAAAUGAAUAAUCCGCCACAAAAAACGGUGUAGUGUGAGACAAACAGGAAACGGGGGAGAAGAGUCGGGGGAAAACUUGCAGCAAAGGGCCACUAGCUGGACUCGAACCCGGGACACUGCGUCAGGGACCAGCCCCUGUACAUGGAUCACCUGCUUAACCUGUUGAGCUAUAUGGACCAAAGAACUACAGACUCUUCACAACCUGCUCAAACUCUUGGUACAGGACCUCACCACACGGAUCAAGAAGGUUUCCAUCUCAUUUCUACUCUGAAGCUCACCUUCUCCUGCUCAAACUGCUGACAAAUGUUUCUGCUGCUCUAAAGUCUGGUCUCCAGAACUUCCUAAAAACUCUCAAAGUCUCUUCUGCUGCAGGUUGCUUUGUAGAACUGUUGCAGAAAACCUCACUAAACCACAUGGAGGGGCCUCAAGAUAGUCGUCCAAAUGAAACCAUACAAAAACCAAACUAGUACAACCCAAACGCUAAAGUCUCCUGCAGCCUACCAGAGAACCUCUGAGAACAGAGAAUCAGGACAGGAACUCUUACCUUCUGGACAAUCAACAUCGGUUCUCAAACAAGAACACAGAAUGUGUCUGACCAAAAACCUCUAAAGACUCACUACAGCCAAGAUAAAGACACAACUCAGCUGCACCAAAUCCACUAAUCACUGCAAACAUUAGUACCAUGUGCUAACUGUGGCUAAAGAACCACAUUUACCAAGACAACUAUCCAGUACAAAGCCCUAAAACACACCAAGAAACACAUUAAAGCCUAUUUUACUGCUGGAAGCUGCAAGCCAACGCCUAAAGAACAAACCAAAGCAACAGAACCAAACCCAGUUCAGUGGUGAAGAGAAGCAGAGGAAAUGUUUGUCUGCAGCUAAAUAAAGCAGGAAGACACUGAGCUGCUCAGGUGUUCCUAAUAACACCAAGCAGCCACCUGGACAGCCAAUAGGAACACAGCUUACUGGAAGUCCAGAGGGCUGGGUUAGUGAAGGAAAUUUAGUUUAAAGUUGAAGCAGAAAGUUAACAAAGAAGGUUGAAAACCACCUUCUGAUACCUGAAAUCUCUGAGUUUCCACACAAAGAACACCUGAACAUGUCAAACUGGUUCCAUAGUAGAACCAUCAUUGUAAAAAUGUCAUAGUAUGGUGUGUUGCUCAAAAAACAUUAGGACCCAGCUGUCAGGGGACAAACAUGUAAGAAACAUGAGAACAGAGAGAACCCAACCAGUAGGUCACAGUUUAUCAUCCCCCAGUCAUCUCCUGAAGUCCAUAUGGUGAGAGACAUCAGUAUCUGGUUGUUAAUUUACCAGAGGAUGCUUAUAAUCAUGCUGAUGUGGUCUGUACUCUACAGUAUUUUAGUGACUCAAUAAAUGCCUAAGUUGUUUUUUUUUAUGCUUUUUAGUUUUUAAUAAACAUUUAACAGUCUAUAUGUAAUCAAUAAAUGGCCUUUGCCUAUCUUAAGAAAAAUUCACUCAGAACUCUGAUAUGUUAACAGUACUAAAUAAAUCAAUAAAUACAUGCAUACACACAUAAAUAAGUUAAUACAUUAACUGUGUUAAGAUAAGAUUUAGAUUUUUUUUAAAAAAGUUGUUUAUGUUUUUGCAGAAUCCAGUAUUGCUCACUGGUUGGUCAUUACAUUUUAUUAGUUUGAUUUCACUGUUUAAAAUGAUGCCACCUCUUUUCAGACAGAACCUGUGAUAAUAAAACAAUACAAAAUUUUUAGUUCCAUGUUAAUAAAGCACUUAAAGCUUUAAGUAUGGCUAAAUGCUUUUUUCAGAAUUAAAUAUAUCACUCCUUAGGUGGUAGUGGCCCCAAGUUCAGUAAAGUUGGAAAGAUAUUCACAGAUUCGGACUUCCAGCAUCAAUAACUCGUUAGAUAUAGGUUGUCAAAACAUAAACGGUGCCUCUUUCCCAUUGUUGCAAGGCAGACAAUGUGCUACAAGCCCAGUUUUAUCAAAAGUAACUGUCUUUCAAGCUACAGGAAUAACAUUGGUGUCUAUGGAGUGAACAGGAUCCGUCUGCAAUUUGCAAAAUCGCUGCAACAGUAAAGAGAGACAAAUAUUCAAUAACUUCACUCUUAUACAUUGUAGUGUCACUAAAAUCACUGCAGCCUUCAACUGGCUCCUGUUGACAAAGUGUUUUAACAGAAAUGUAAAUGCUGUAAUUUGAUUCUUUUAAUGAACCAUGUAACUUGAAUGGAUGUGAUGCUGGUGUGACCACAGUGCACACGUCUGAUGUUGCUCACAGUGGUCCAAGGGACGCUCAGGGAGUUUGUGUGUUUGCUCAGACUCAUGAAAAAUUACAGGGAACAUUGUUUGGGACUCAAGCACUUCCUUCUUUUACUCACUAUCUCCCCAGCCUUAGAAAAAAAAACCUGUUCACACGGCACAGAUGAGGCUGAGGUACACAGGAAAUGUUUGGCUCCAUUGUACAAGUUUGGGUAAACAGUUUUGUGGGUUGCCCAGUAAGCCAGUGGGUCUGCCGUUCUUUCUACAAUUGCAUUCGCUGUGGCGCUUUGCAUUUGCCAGGCUCUACUUGCGUCUUCGUCUAAUAGGCUCCACAGUUGAACUGAAAAAUAUUGAAGAUCAUCAUCAUCAUCACCAGAAAUGUCAGUCAUUCCCUAUUCAGAAGAGAAAAAGAAUACCUGUGGAAGGUGCUGCUGGUGAUGGAGGACGAGGCUGUGGUGGUGCUUGUGAGGUAGAUGACUACUGCUUAGCAUUCUUUAUGUUAAUUGUUGUGCAUUCUGUUAUUAAAUGUUCUUUCACACUGGCUGCCACUCUGAUUGGUGAAUCCAAAAGUUUUGAACUGCAGAGCCACAAGUGUAGCAACAGUCAGUGAACUGUUCUUUUCUUUGGUUUGUAGUCUGUCAGCUAAGCACCUGACAAGGUUCUGUGCCAGGUGUUGUG